CCUACGGGUGGCUGCAGUAAGGAAUAUUGGACAAUGCCCGCAAGGGUGAUCCAGCCAUGCCGCGUGCAGGAAGACGGCCCUAUGGGUUGUAAACUGCUUUUAUACCGGAGAAAACCUCCCCUCGUGAGGGGAGCUGAUAGUAUGGUAAGAAUAAGCAUCGGCUAACUUCGUGCCAGCAGCCGCGGUAAGACGAAGGAUGCAAGCGUUAUCCGGAUUCAUUGGGUUUAAAGGGAGCGUAGGCGGCCUUAUAAGUCAGUGGUGAAAUCUUUGGGCUUAACCCAAAAAUUGCCAUUGAUACUGUAGGGCUUGAGUACAGUUGCUGUGGGCGGAAUAUGACAUGUAGUGGUGAAAUACAUAGAGAUGUCAUAGAACACCGAUUGCGAAGGCAGCUCACAAAACUGUAACUGACGCUGAGGCUCGAAAGUGCGGGGAUCAAACAGGAUUAGAUACCCAAGUAGUC
RNAcentral lists this ribosomal RNA (460 nucleotides) under uncultured bacterium. RNAcentral's name for it is "bacterial SSU rRNA". It matches the Rfam family "Bacterial small subunit ribosomal RNA", at positions 338 to 795 of the family's 1533-position model. The record is from RNAcentral.